Molecule: ribosomal RNA, 447 nt
Filed under: uncultured bacterium
Lineage: Bacteria
Description: bacterial SSU rRNA
Rfam family: Bacterial small subunit ribosomal RNA
Source: RNAcentral
UGGGGAAUUUUGGACAAUGGGCGCAAGCCUGAUCCAGCCAUGCCGCGUGGAUGAUGAGGGCCUUAGGGUUGUAAAAUCCUUUCGCCGAGGACGAUAAUGACGGUACUCGGAGAAGAAGCUCCGGCUAACUUCGUGCCAGCAGCCGCGGUAAUACGAAGGGGGCUAGCGUUGUUCGGAUUUACUGGGCGUAAAGCGCAUGUAGGCGGGCCGUUAAGUUAGGGGUGAAAUCCCGAGGCUCAACCUCGGAACUGCCUCUAAAACUGGCGGCCUGGACCUAAGUAGAGGCAAGUGGAAUUGCGAGUGUAGAGGUGAAAUUCGUAGAUAUUCGCAGGAACACCAGUGGCGAAGGCGACUUGCUGGACUUAUGGUGACGCUGAGAUACGAAAGCGUGGGGAGCAAACAGGAUUAGAUACCCCGGUAGUCCCUGAGCGGGCUGGCAAGGCGCAU